RNAcentral lists this transfer RNA (65 nucleotides) under Symploce pallens. Its description in RNAcentral is "tRNA-Gly". The record is from RNAcentral. Lineage: Eukaryota; Metazoa; Arthropoda; Insecta; Blattodea; Blattellidae.
AUUUAUCUAAUAUAAUAAGUAUAUUUGACUUCCAAUCAAAAAGUUUGUUAAUUACAAGAUAAAUA